Long non-coding RNA from Lingula anatina, 309 nucleotides. The record is from RefSeq and is a predicted model, not a curated record. Lineage: Eukaryota; Metazoa; Brachiopoda; Lingulata; Lingulida; Lingulidae.
GCUGUCUGUGGCUCUGAUGGAAAGAUAUACCAGUGUUUGUCUAACUUUAAGCACCAGAAGUGUCGUAACAAGACAAGUGUGUAUGUAGCCAACAUUCAAAGAUGUCUGACAACCACUGUGUCUCCACUGGCAAUGAGCACACCAUCUGUGGCCUUUCCUUGCAGUGCUCGCUGCUCCUUGUCUCCCAGAGAGCACUGUGAUAACAGAGGAAAAAUCUAUGGCAGUCAAUGUGCUCUGCACUGGGAGAUCUGUCGCUAUCAGAGUCAGGGGCUCACACCUCCUCGUGAGGUAGAGUGCAAUGGAAGUCCU